Molecule: ribosomal RNA, 476 nt
Filed under: uncultured bacterium
Lineage: Bacteria
Description: bacterial SSU rRNA
Rfam family: Bacterial small subunit ribosomal RNA
Source: RNAcentral
AUGAACGCUAGCGGCAGGCUUAACACAUGCAAGUCGAGGGUAUAGUUCUUCGGAACUAGAGACCGGCGCACGGGUGCGUAACGCGUAUGCAAUCUACCUUCACAAAGGGAUAGCCCAGAGUAAAUUUGGAUUAAUACCUUAUAGUAAUACGACUUGGCAUCAAGAUGUAUUUAAAGAUUUAUCGGUGAAAGAUGAGCAUGCGUCCCAUUAGCUUGUUGGUAAGGUAACGGCUUACCAAGGCAACGAUGGGUAGGGGUCCUGAGAGGGAGAUCCCCCACACUGGUACUGAGACACGGACCAGACUCCUACGGGAGGCAGCAGUGAGGAAUAUUGGACAAUGGGCGCAAGCCUGAUCCAGCAAUGCCGCGUGCAGGAUGAAGCAUCUAUGGUGUGUAAACUGCUUUUGUACGGGAAGAAACACUCCUACGUGUAGGAGCUUGACGGUACCGUAAGAAUAAGGAUCGGCUAACUCCGUG